Molecule: transfer RNA, 70 nt
Filed under: Marmota monax (woodchuck)
Lineage: Eukaryota; Metazoa; Chordata; Mammalia; Rodentia; Sciuridae
Description: tRNA.Ala
Source: RNAcentral
GUGUUGCGGUUCAGGGGUAGAGCACUCGCCUAGCACGUGUGAGACUCUAGGUUCGAUCCUUAGCACCACA